AACGCGAAGAACCUUACCCAGGUUUGACAUCCUUGGAAUUUCUUCGAAAGGAGAAAGUGCUUUAUUGAGCCAAGUGACAGGUGUUGCAUGGCCGUCUUCAGCUCGUGUCGUGAGAUGUUUGGUUAAGUCCAUCAACGAGCGCAACCCUUAUAGUUAGUUGAAUUUUUCUAGCUAGACUGCCCUGGUAACAGGGAGGAAGGAGGGGAUGAUGUCAGGUCAGUAUUACCCUUAUAUCUGGGGCUACAAACACGCUACAAUGGCCGGUACAAAGGGCUGCCAAGUCGCGAGACGGAGCAAAUCCCAUCAAAGCCGGUCUCAGUUCGGAUAGUAGGCUGAAACUCGCCUGCUUGAAGCUGGAAUCGCUAGUAACGGUGAGUCAGCACAUCACCGUGAAUACGUUCCCGGGCCUUGUACACACCGUGUCGA
This 426-nucleotide ribosomal RNA is filed under the name uncultured bacterium. Its description in RNAcentral is "bacterial SSU rRNA". It matches the Rfam family "Bacterial small subunit ribosomal RNA", at positions 958 to 1400 of the family's 1533-position model. The record is from RNAcentral.